This 234-nucleotide unclassified non-coding RNA is filed under the name uncultured fungus. RNAcentral's name for it is "sequence contains ITS1, 5.8S rRNA gene". The stretch from base 186 to 234 matches the Rfam family "5.8S ribosomal RNA", at positions 1 to 49 of the family's 154-position model. Lineage: Eukaryota; Fungi. The record is from RNAcentral.
UCUCCGUUGGUGAACCAGCGGAGGGAUCAUUACUGAGUGAGGGGCUCCGGCCCCAGACCUCCAACCCAUUGUUAUCCGACACUGUUGCCUCGGGGGCGACCCGGCCUUCGGGCGUCUUGGGGCCCCCGGUGGACCACUCCAAACACUGCAUCUCUAGCGUCUGAGUCAGAUAUUGAAUCAAUCAAAACUUUCAACAACGGAUCUCUUGGUUCUGGCAUCGAUGAAGAACGCAGC